UCCUGGUUUCCCAGGCAGUCCCGUCAGAGUGCUCCGCUUACGCGGAUCGCAACUGACAGCAGGGGUUGCGCUCGUUAAAGGACUUAACCCAACAUCUCACGACACGAGCUGACGACAGCCAUGCAGCACCUGUGCACAUGUCUAAACCGAAGCUUAGAAGAUCGCGUUUCUGCGACUGUCAUGUACAUGUCAAGCCUAGGUAAGGUUCCUCGCGUAGUAUCGAAUUAAACCACAUGUUCCACCGCUUGUGCGGACCCCCGUCAAUUUCUUUGAGUUUUAGUCUUGCGACCGUAAUCCCCAGGCGGAUCACUUAACGCGUUAGCUACGACACUAAUCUCGCAAAGCAAGACUAACGUCUAGUGAUCAUCGUUUACGGCGUGGACUAC
RNAcentral lists this unclassified non-coding RNA (386 nucleotides) under uncultured bacterium. Its description in RNAcentral is "contains 16S-23S intergenic spacer region". The record is from RNAcentral.